Molecule: ribosomal RNA, 256 nt
Filed under: uncultured Stenotrophomonas sp.
Lineage: Bacteria; Pseudomonadati; Pseudomonadota; Gammaproteobacteria; Lysobacterales; Lysobacteraceae
Description: partial 16S ribosomal RNA
Rfam family: Bacterial small subunit ribosomal RNA
Source: RNAcentral
GGCGGACGGGUGAGGAAUACAUCGGAAUCUACUCUGUCGUGGGGGAGUAACGUAGGGAAACUUACGCUAAUACCGCAUACGACCUACGGGUGAAAGCAGGGAUCUUCGGACCUUGCGCGAUUGAAUGAGCCGAUGUCGGAUUAGCUAGUUGGCGGGGUAAAGGCCCACCAAGGCGACGAUCCGUAGCUGGUCUGAGAGGAUGAUCAGCCACACUGGAACUGAGACACGGUCCAGACUCCUACGGGAGGCAGCAGCC